RNAcentral lists this ribosomal RNA (495 nucleotides) under uncultured bacterium. RNAcentral's name for it is "partial 16S ribosomal RNA". It matches the Rfam family "Bacterial small subunit ribosomal RNA", at positions 29 to 506 of the family's 1533-position model. The record is from RNAcentral.
AUGCACGCUGGCGGCGUGCCUAAUACCUGCCAGUCGAGCGAACAGACGAGGAGCUUGCUCCUCUGACGUUAGCGGCGGACGGGUGAGUAACACGUGGAUAACCUACCUAUAAGACUGGGAUAACUUCGGGAAACCGGAGCUAAUACCGGAUAAUAUAUUGAACCGCAUGGUUCAAUAGUGAAAGACGGUUUUGCUGUCACUUAUAGAUGGAUCCGCGCCGCAUUAGCUAGUUGGUAAGGUAACGGCUUACCAAGGCAACGAUGCGUAGCCGACCUGAGAGGGUGAUCGGCCACACUGGAACUGAGACACGGUCCAGACUCCUACGGGAGGCAGCAGUAGGGAAUCUUCCGCAAUGGGCGAAAGCUUGACGGAGCAACGCCGCGUGAGUGAUGAAGGUCUUCGGAUCGUAAAACUCUGUUAUUAGGGAAGAACAAAUGUGUAAGUAACUAUGCACGUCUUGACGGUACCUAAUCAGAAAGCCACGGCUAACUACGU